GGGUCGGAUCGGUCGGGUGCGGAUGGUCCAGGCGAGCUUCGGCUUCCGCGCCGGGCUGGAUCCCGCCAGCCGGCUGUUCGAUCCGGCCUUGGCCGG
RNAcentral lists this transfer RNA (96 nucleotides) under Planctomycetota bacterium. RNAcentral describes it as "tRNA-Arg". The record is from RNAcentral. Lineage: Bacteria; Pseudomonadati; Planctomycetota.